This 235-nucleotide ribosomal RNA is filed under the name uncultured Staphylococcus sp. Its description in RNAcentral is "partial 16S ribosomal RNA". It matches the Rfam family "Bacterial small subunit ribosomal RNA", at positions 105 to 334 of the family's 1533-position model. Lineage: Bacteria; Bacillati; Bacillota; Bacilli; Caryophanales; Staphylococcaceae. The record is from RNAcentral.
GGUGAGUAACACGUGGAUAACCUACCUAUAAGACUGGGAUAACUUCGGGAAACCGGAGCUAAUACCGGAUAAUAUUUUGAACCGCAUGGUUCAAAAGUGAAAGACGGUCUUGCUGUCACUUAUAGAUGGAUCCGCGCUGCAUUAGCUAGUUGGUAAGGUAACGGCUUACCAAGGCAACGAUGCAUAGCCGACCUGAGAUGGUGAUCGGCCACACUGGAACUGAGACACGGUCCAG